This 253-nucleotide ribosomal RNA is filed under the name uncultured bacterium. RNAcentral's name for it is "partial 16S ribosomal RNA". It matches the Rfam family "Bacterial small subunit ribosomal RNA", at positions 524 to 776 of the family's 1533-position model. The record is from RNAcentral.
UACGGAGGGGGCUAGCGUUGUUCGGAAUUACUGGGCGUAAAGGGCGCGUAGGCGGACAGUUUAGUCAGAGGUGAAAGCCCAGGGCUCAACCUUGGAAUAGCCUUUGAUACUGACUGUCUUGAGUUCGGGAGAGGUGAGUGGAAUGCCGAGUGUAGAGGUGAAAUUCGUAGAUAUUCGGCGGAACACCAGUGGCGAAGGCGACUCACUGGCCCGAUACUGACGCUGAGGCGCGAAAGCGUGGGGAGCAAACAGG